RNAcentral lists this small nucleolar RNA (138 nucleotides) under Ornithorhynchus anatinus (platypus). The record is from RNAcentral. Lineage: Eukaryota; Metazoa; Chordata; Mammalia; Monotremata; Ornithorhynchidae.
CCCCUUUCAGAGUGGAACCUGGAGAGUUUCCAGUACUCUGCUAGUCUCAACUUUGGGAGGGAGAGUCAAGCAGAGGCAUACCCAUUCCAUUCCUAGCUUGGGCAGUGGCUGGAGAGCGGAAGGCAAUCUGCUACAAGU